RNAcentral lists this ribosomal RNA (427 nucleotides) under uncultured bacterium. RNAcentral's name for it is "bacterial SSU rRNA". It matches the Rfam family "Bacterial small subunit ribosomal RNA", at positions 355 to 774 of the family's 1533-position model. The record is from RNAcentral.
UGGGGAAUUUUGGACAAUGGGCGCAAGCCUGAUCCAGCAAUGCCGCGUGCAGGAUGAAGGCCUUCGGGUUGUAAACUGCUUUUGUACGGAACGAAACGGCUCUGUCUAAUACAUGGGGCUAAUGACGGUACCGUAAGAAUAAGCACCGGCUAACUACGUGCCAGCAGCCGCGGUAAUACGUAGGGUGCGAGCGUUAAUCGGAAUUACUGGGCGUAAAGCGUGCGCAGGCGGUUAUGUAAGACAGAGGUGAAAUCCCCGGGCUCAACCUGGGAACUGCCUUUGUGACUGCAAGGCUUGAGUGCGGCAGAGGGGGAUGGAAUUCCGCGUGUAGCAGUGAAAUGCGUAGAUAUGCUGAGGAACACCGACGGCGAAGGCAAUCCCCUGGGCCUGCACUGACGCUCAUGCACGAAAGCGUGGGGAGCAAACA